AACCUGGUUGAUCCUGCCAGUAGUCAUAUGCUUGUCUCAAAGAUUAAGCCAUGCUAUGUCUAAGUAUAAGUCUUUUAUACGGUGAAACUGCGAAUGGCUCAUUAAAACAGUUAUAGUUUAUUUGAUGGUCUUUUUUACAUGGAUAACCAUGGUAAUUCUAGGCUAAUACAUGCGCAACUGGCCUCCUUCUUUGGAGGGGCUGUGUUUAUUAGAUACAAAACCAACCCACAUUCUGUGUGGAGCCUUGGUGAUUCAUAGUAACCGAACGGAUCGCAGUUGGCUUUCGGGCCCGCGAUGGAUCUUUCAAGUUUCUGACCUAUCAGCUUUCGACGGUAGGGUAUUGGCCUACCGUGGCAGUGACGGGUAACGGGGAAUUAGGGUUCGAUUCCGGAGAGGGAGCCUGAGAAACGGCUACCACAUCUAAGGAAGGCAGCAGGCGCGCAAAUUACCCAAUGAAAACAGUUUCGAGGUAGUGACGAGAAAUAACAAUACAGGGCAUUUUAUGCUUUGUAAUUGGAAUGAUGGGAAUGUAAAACCCUUCCAGAGUAACAAUUGGAGGGCAAGUCUGGUGCCAGCAGCCGCGUAAUUCCAGCUCCAAUAGUGUAUAUUAGAGUUGUUGCAGUUAAAAAGCUCGUAGUUGGAUUUCUGUCGUGGUCAGUCGGCGCCGCCCGUAUGGCGUGCGCGCCUGGUUUGCCCGCGGCUUUCUUCCGGUAGCCUUCCGCGCUUGAGUGCGUGUGUCGUGUGUUCCGGAACUUUUACUUUGAGAAAAAUAGAGUGUUUCAAGCAGCUUGUUCGCCCUGAAUACUGCAGCAUGGAAUAAUAAGAUAGGACCUUGGUUCUAUUUUGUUGGUUUCUAGGACCAAGGUAAUGAUUAAUAGGGACAGUUGGGGGCAUUCGUAUUGAACUGUCAGAGGUGAAUUCUUAGAUUUGUUAAAGACGAACUACUGCGAAACGUUUGCCAAGGAUGUUUUCGAUUAAUCAAGAACGACAGUAGGGGGUUUGAAGACGAUUAGAUACCGUCGUAAUCUCUACCAUAAACUAUGCCGACUAGAGAUAGGGAAAUGCCUACCUUGGCUUCUCCUGCACCUCAUGAGAAAUCAAAGUCUCUGGGUUCUGGGGGGAGUAUGGUCGCAAGGCUGAAACUUAAAGGAAUUGACGGAGGGGCACCACCAGGACGUGGCAGUGCGGCUUAAUUUGACUCAACACGGGGAAACUCACCAGGUCCAGACAUGGGAAGGAUUGACAGAUUGAUAGCUCUUUCUUGAUUCUAUGGGUGGUGGUGCAUGGCCGUUCUUAGUUGGUGGAGUGAUCUGUCUGGUUAAUUUCGAUAACGAACGAACGAGACCUUAGCCUGCUAAAUAGGAUCUCUAGAACCCCCCUGGUUCUGGCAUCACUUCUUAGAGCGGACUUUGCGUGUCUAACGCAUAGCGAAGCUCUUGACGGCAAUAACAGGAUCUGAUGACUGCCCUUAGAUGUUCUGGGCUGCACGCGCGCUACACUGAUGCAUGCAACGAGUUUUUACCUUGGCCGGCAGUCUAGGUAAUCUUUUGAGUAUGCAUCGUGAUGGGGAUAGAUUAUUGCAAUUAUUAAUCUUCAACGAGGAAUGCCUAGUAGGCGCAAGUCAGCAGCUUGCGCCGAUUACGUCCCUGCCCCUUGUACACACCGCCCGUCGCUGCAACCGAUCGGAGGGUCCUGUGAAUUCAUCGGACGGACCAGCCCCGUUUCGUGCGGGCGUGGCCGGAAGUUGCGUAAAUAGAGCCCUCUAAAGGAUGCAAAAGUCGUAACACGGUUCCGUAGGUGAACCUGCAGAAGGAUCCA
This 1818-nucleotide ribosomal RNA is filed under the name Eimeria meleagrimitis. Its description in RNAcentral is "SSU rRNA". It matches the Rfam family "Eukaryotic small subunit ribosomal RNA". The record is from RNAcentral. Lineage: Eukaryota; Apicomplexa; Conoidasida; Eucoccidiorida; Eimeriidae.